RNAcentral lists this long non-coding RNA (582 nucleotides) under Helianthus annuus (common sunflower). RNAcentral describes it as "hypothetical non coding rna". The record is from RNAcentral. Lineage: Eukaryota; Viridiplantae; Streptophyta; Magnoliopsida; Asterales; Asteraceae.
GGUAACAAUAUAUUCUCUAAACGUACCAACGGGCGUAGAGGUGGAGGAAGACGAGGAAGAUGACGACGACGAAGAGGAUGAUGAUGGAGGAGAGCAUGAUUCGGCCCGAGAGGGCGUAGGAUUUAGAGGAGUCUUGUAGUUCGGCAUCGGGCCACUGGUUGACCGGAGAAUCUGAAGACAUUGAGGAUGGAGGGAGGGGUGUGUGUGUGGUUAAGGGUGGUUUAGAAAGAGGGUUAAAUGGAGACAAUUUAAGAAAGAAGAAUAGGAAGCUUCGAGGUUGGUUCCUACAAGAGUUGCAGAAAGCAGAUUUUCGUUGAUUGACAUUUGCCUGGAAGACGCCAAGCAUUGACGCGGGAUUUGUUUAAUGACCAAAUUGACCUUGGGUCUUUAGUUGCUUUUACACUAUAGAGUAGUUGGGAGUUGCGUUUACACUAGAGUAGUUGGCUGGAUUUACUAGUGUACUUUUAAGGUGAUAAAGUAGGAAAGAAAGGGCAUGUAAAUAUUUACUUGGUAUGAUUUUGGUGAUUUCGCUGAUGAUACAAUGAUGCUAUAAUGUUCUAUCUGUUAAUCGUGUUGAGUUGA